ACUCGACCUCGGAAAUGUUUGUUAUGCCAUUUGUCAGUAAUGGUUAGAGCGCCACCUAGUGGGACGACUAUAAUAAUGAUUGAAUGAGAUGAAAUGUUAGCUGGUGGUUAAAUGCAUGAAUUCCAUCAAUGUGACAUCACAUCGGACGUGCUGGUUUUAGGUGUUGGGCGUGGCUCGACACGCCAGGGUGCGAGGGCCCUCAUAUCGCUGCUUGCAGCUUUAAUUAGGGCCCGAGCACCGAGAGUGCGAAGGCCCUAUUGUAUCUGCUCUGUUUCUUAUUAUUAUUAUUAUUAUUAUUAUUAUUAUUAUUAUUAUUAUUAUUAUUAUUAUUUCGGCAAAUGAAUCGGCCUUUUGAGGGCCUAAACAUGCUCGAAAACUCAUGAAAUUUUGCAGACGCGUCAGGUCUGGUGAAAAUUUACGUAUUUUAAUGUCCGUAGACAUGUCCAGGGAAAAUUGGCUCAGUAGCGCCACCUAGAAAAAUGAGAAAC
Oreochromis aureus is the source of this 488-nucleotide long non-coding RNA. The record is from Ensembl. Lineage: Eukaryota; Metazoa; Chordata; Actinopteri; Cichliformes; Cichlidae.